RNAcentral lists this long non-coding RNA (772 nucleotides) under Homo sapiens (human). Its description in RNAcentral is "HSALNT0094040". The record is from RNAcentral. Lineage: Eukaryota; Metazoa; Chordata; Mammalia; Primates; Hominidae.
GUCUGAACUGGCAUUAACUUGCUGAUUCUGUUUCAGAUCUCUAUUCCAGCUUUCUCGGUAACCCUAAUAAAGAAAACCAAAACUGCUCUUCUAGUGCCAAACGCCCUGAUCAUAGCAACAGUCACAGACAGGUACAUAUUUGUCUCCUUACUCUCCAGAGAUUCAACUUACAAACUACUAAAAUCUGUGUGUGGACACUUAGAAGUGAAAUACAAGUGUUGGUAACAGUCCCAAUCCAUCUUCUGCUGAAAACAGUUUCCGAGCAGACCGCCCUUCAUCUCUGCCUCUGGUAAGUUGCCCACAUAACUAUCUAAAUGCAAAAGAAAGGGAAUAUGUCCCACAAUUACACUUGUGCUUACACCAUGACCAGGGUGUGGGAAGAGCUUAGGACCAAAAUAUUUGAGGUACAGUUGAAGAAACAGGGCAUAUCUUCCUUGAAGAAGAGGAAACCAUAGUAGCCAUAAACUUUUUCCAAGUAAUUGAAGAGUUGUCCUGCAAAAAGAAAGAAACACCUAGUAGACUAUCUUGGUGAGUUACUGGUCAGUGAAUGCAUUCAUAAAAUCUUGCUCUGUUUGCUUGUCAAUAUUGGCUUAGAGGGAUUCACAAAUCUAUUUGAGGUAGGACUGAAUCAUCCCACAAAUCCUUAAAUGUCUUCUGUGUUCAAGGCACCAUGCUAGUGCACACUGUAGGAUACCAGGAAAAAUUAAAACUAAUUUAUGCCUUCAGAGACUUCACAACUUAGAAGAGAAAUGAAUAUGCUCAGAAUUAACUG